This 482-nucleotide long non-coding RNA is filed under the name Salvator merianae (Argentine black and white tegu). Its description in RNAcentral is "lncRNA (ENSSMRG00000000249.1)". The record is from RNAcentral. Lineage: Eukaryota; Metazoa; Chordata; Lepidosauria; Squamata; Teiidae.
GAUGGCCACAGCAUAUUCUGUAGCUGNGAAUUAGUAAAAGAAUAAAAACAAGCUAUGUAACAAGACUGGAAGGUCUGGUUUUAUUGGCACUUUCUGCUGCCAGGAUGCAAUUUACUCUUUUCAUACAAACAUUAAGAAAGCUUCAGCAGCUGAUCCUAAUUAGUGCUUUUGCAGUGACUCAUGUAAUGGAAACUGCCCCAAACAUAUUGCCAGACUGCUAAACCAAUGGCUGCUUUUGGCACCCACUGAACACAAAUGAAUGGAACCACCAUUGUUUUUCUGUUGGACUGUGCCUUCAACAGCAGUGGACAAGACAGGAAAGGUUGAACAUUUUCUGGCAGAGAGCUUUUUGGCUUGGAGAUUCUUACGUGCUGGCGACAUCCACUUUGGAGUGAUGCAUACGUGACUACCCUGGUUGAUGGUACGUUUUACCCACAUCUACUGAAACAAGAAAAAAUAAAUCUGAAGAAUUCACGCUAGCA